Molecule: long non-coding RNA, 1224 nt
Organism: Cynoglossus semilaevis (tongue sole)
Lineage: Eukaryota; Metazoa; Chordata; Actinopteri; Pleuronectiformes; Cynoglossidae
Exons: 2
Source: RefSeq, a predicted model, not a curated record
CAUAUAUGUGACAUUAUUUUACUUUUUUUAUUUAAAGGGCCAUGAUAAAAAAAUUUUACGAAACAUUGUUCCCAAACUCUUGAUUUCGGUUUAACGUAGAGACUUUAAUUAUGUUUCCUCGCCCCGUUUUAAAUUUAUAUUUAUAUUUUAAAUUUUGAUGAAUGUUACAAAUUGUCUGAAUAAAGUUGAAUAAUGAUCACAUAUUAACCGCCACUUUCGGAACUAUCUCGUGAAAAUACAUUGACUGUUUUUGUAUUUAACUGUCAGAGGUUGGUUUGAACGACUUAUUUAUCUACAUAUUUAAACGUGUUGAAUGUCAAUGUAGUGAUUACGGUAAGAUUUACGUGGUGAACGUAAACGCAACAUUAAAGGUUUCCUCUGGCGCUGGACUGCAGAUUCCACCCGACAGAACAACACUCCCCUCCUGUGUCUCCAUUCUUAAUAGCAGCAGGGAUUUCUCACAGAUUCGUUAAUUAAAAAUAAUAAUAAUUUAAAAAAAACUUUUGGUGAGUUUUGUGUGUGAAUGAACGGUGUAAAGACAGACCAUAAAGGGCUUUACAGAGCUUGUACAACUUUUCCUAAUUUGAUAGCAUCGAAGUGUUUUAUACACAACUUGAAACUGUGCGGGGGGUUAUUGUCAACAGCUGUCGUUAACGGGCCUAAUGUAGAUGUGAACAAGAAAAGACGUGUAAUGUAUUACAUCAAAUACCACAUUCACCCAACUGGUGGAUGUUAUUGUUUAAGUAGUUCGAACAAAUCUCAGGUUCGAACAAAUCUUAAAUCCCUAACAUCCCUACACAAAUGAAGUGGCCCAGAAGGAUUAUAUUACGGCGCAUGCGCAGCGGUGACUACGGUUUCCUUAUACCUGGAAUUGCUGCUGUCGGGUGAUCAGGAGUAGUGGCUUUUAUUUCUCGAUUGGUUUUUGUCCAUAAAGACAUUUCGGUAUUUUAAUGCCCAGUGAGUAACGUCUGGUAGAAUCGUGUGAACUCUGGCUGACAGUCGAUCAAGUAAAUCGCCAUAUUUCUUGUACCACGAGGUAACUCCUGCUAAUCGUCGCUAAUGUCAGUACGAACAAUUGACUUGAGCUUUUGUUUGCAACGUAAUAUAUUUUAAUAAUUUAAUAUUUCAUAAUUUAUUUAUACAUAUAUUUUUUAAUUUACUUUCGGUUUGGUUCCGCUUAAAGUUGUGACUCCAGAAAUGACAACCCAUAUUCCGUGUUUUUUU